AAAAAACCAAAACACACAAACAUUUCUUUUUUUCUUUUUUCUUUUUUAUUUAUCACUUUCUCUUUCUUUUCUUUUACAUCCAUAUUUACAAAAAUGCAAAUUGAAAAACUAAACAAAAAUUACAUUAAAUAACUUAAAAUUUACAAAAUAGUCCCCCAACACUCCAGGAAUUGCAGAGGAACUUCCUGGACCCGUAUGAACACUGGUGGCGCGUGGAUCCACGCGCCACCGCUGGAUGACAGGGGAAGCAGGCCUGGCUUGCAAUCUUCUUCUCUUCCCCACAGGCAAUGACCUGCAAAACAACCAAGAAAACGCAACAGAACAGUUGAUUUUAGCUUUUGUUUCAUAUUUGUUUUUAUUUCUUUUUUUCUGCCCAAUGCUUUUAGAUCUGUAAUCAAUUUGUUCUCUUUCUGGUGGCUGUUACUUCGUUCUUCAGAUGGCGGAGCGUUGCUGCGGCUGAAGAGAGGAUCGUGGAUCUGCCACCGGUUGAAGGAGAUGAUGACAGUGUUGCCCCGACGCUGGAUCUGUUCGACCGUCGCUGCUGUGGAAGGAAACCGAGGAGAUCGCCUACAAAUUGGUGGCUUGGUGGAGCUAUUUCUUCAGGCGGCGCCGAUGUAGAGAGACCGCUGGUUUGCCCAAAUGGUGGGCGACUGGAGUGAGAGCUGGCGUCCUGUCUUGUGGCCGGUUGAAGAGAAGCUAAUGGUUGAGAAAGAGGGGAAGAUCGGUGUGUUGGAGAAGGAGAGAGGAGGACGCUGGGUAGAUGUGGUAGCUGCUCCAAUUCGUUCUGUUUUGGCUGCAACCGAGAGAGAGGUGAGGGGAAAAUGGUGAUGAGCAGCGGCUUUGUUUUGGGGCCGAAGACUGUUCUGUGGGGCUGUUGGGUUGAAAGAAAUACAGUAAAGGGGCAGCUGGUUAAGGGAGAAGAAGAUGAAAAUAAAAAAGGGGGUGAAGGGGCUCGUCUGUGGCUGUGGGCAAGCCGGCCAGGGAAGAGGAAGAAGGAAAAAAUCCGGGGGGUUUGGGGGGCAGGCGGCUGCCUUGAGAGGGGAAGUAGAAAAGUUAAGUUUUUAGGGUUUUUUUUUCCUUUGUGUUGCCUCCUCC
This 1095-nucleotide long non-coding RNA is filed under the name Populus tremula. RNAcentral describes it as "long non-coding RNA (PTRE_LNC002981)". The record is from RNAcentral. Lineage: Eukaryota; Viridiplantae; Streptophyta; Magnoliopsida; Malpighiales; Salicaceae.